This 486-nucleotide ribosomal RNA is filed under the name Triticum aestivum (bread wheat). Its description in RNAcentral is "partial small subunit ribosomal RNA". The record is from RNAcentral. Lineage: Eukaryota; Viridiplantae; Streptophyta; Magnoliopsida; Poales; Poaceae.
AUGGCCGGCUGGUUGGACGAGGGGUCCUCCUCCUCCUCCUCGUCGUCGUCUAAGCGGCGGCGCCGGGAUUGUGACUGCGACUGCGCUGAGAGUAGGAGGCCGCGGCGGAAGCAGCACCUCUAUCUGGCGCUGGACGACUGGGACGGCGGGUACAGCAUCCACAAGCUCGACGCCGACGACAUCUUGGACGACGAUUUUGGAGGAGUGCGCAAGCUUCCCGAGCCCGCCGCCAUCCGGAUCAGGUGGCCGGUGCGCGGCCCCGUGCACUUCGCCGCUCUGGGCACCGACAUCUUCUUCGCUGCCGGCCCGCGUUUCCACGGUGACGACGCCCCACCCACAACCUUCGUCUACGAAACGCAGGCCGCCGCGCUCGCCGUGGGCCCGCCCCUUCCGACCGGGCUCUAUAGCUUGGGGGCCGCCAUGGCCGCCGGUCGGAAGCUCUACGCCCUAACAAGCCCCUGCCAUCCCGAGGUGUCGUGGUUCUAA